RNAcentral lists this small RNA (157 nucleotides) under Streptomyces glaucescens. Its description in RNAcentral is "c-di-AMP sequence". It matches the Rfam family "c-di-AMP riboswitch aptamer (ydaO/yuaA leader)". Rfam says of the family: This family represents a conserved RNA structure found upstream of the ydaO and yuaA genes in Bacillus subtilis and related genes in other bacteria. The ydaO/yuaA element is thought to act as a genetic "off" switch for the ydaO and yuaA genes in its native state. It is believed that the element may be triggered during osmotic shock leading to activation of ydaO, a predicted amino acid transporter gene, and members of the yuaA-yubG operon which code for KtrA and KtrB K+ transporters. The record is from Rfam by way of RNAcentral. Lineage: Bacteria; Bacillati; Actinomycetota; Actinomycetes; Kitasatosporales; Streptomycetaceae.
CGUGCGCACGCGCCGAAUCCCGCGAGGGAACCGGGGAACCACCACUUGGGGUGAAUCGGGCGUAAGGAGCCGUGUCCGCACGGCUGGUUUACGCGCGUAGGAGACCUUCCUGCUCCGAACCCGUCAGCUAACCCGGUAGGCGAGAAGGAAGGAAAGG